GACGAACGCUGGCGGCGUGCUUAACACAUGCAAGUCGAGCGGUAAGGCCCUUUCGGGGGUACACGAGCGGCGAACGGGUGAGUAACACGUGGGUGACCUGCCCUCAGCUCUGGGAUAAGCCUGGGAAACCGGGUCUAAUACCGGAUAUGACUCCAUGACGCAUGUUGGUGGGGUGGAAAGCCUUGUGCGGCUGAGGAUGGGCCCGCGGCCUAUCAGCUUGUUGGUGGGGUGAUGGCCUACCAAGGCGACGACGGGUAGCCGGCCUGAGAGGGCGACCGGCCACACUGGGACUGAGACACGGCCCAGACUCCUAC
RNAcentral lists this ribosomal RNA (314 nucleotides) under uncultured bacterium. Its description in RNAcentral is "bacterial SSU rRNA". It matches the Rfam family "Bacterial small subunit ribosomal RNA", at positions 28 to 342 of the family's 1533-position model. The record is from RNAcentral.